This 704-nucleotide ribosomal RNA is filed under the name Psilenchus hilarulus. RNAcentral's name for it is "eukaryotic LSU rRNA". It matches the Rfam family "Eukaryotic large subunit ribosomal RNA", at positions 362 to 910 of the family's 3401-position model. Lineage: Eukaryota; Metazoa; Nematoda; Chromadorea; Rhabditida; Tylenchidae. The record is from RNAcentral.
AAGUGCAAAGCACUUUGAAGAGAGAGUUAAAGAGGACGUGAAACCGAUAAGGUGGAAACGGAUAGAGCUAGCGUAUCCAGUCUGUAUUCAGCUGUUCUGGCUUGAGUUGCCGGCUCUUCGGUCCAGAGAUAUGGUCGAUUGGUCGGUUCUUCUUGGGCAGGCGCAGUGCAUUUGCAGGCAGAGUGCGCUGAGGCGUGUGAGGCAGUGGCUUGAAGCGAGCUUUGAGGAGACUCUGCGGAGUUAAACCCUGGCAUGUCGAGAGCUAUUUGUUUUGCAUGUACAAGGACAUGGCUUCCGGGCCUUGGCUGAGUUUGGUUAGUCGCUGGUAACGGUCGCAUGCGACACGUGCCAACGGUUGAUUAGGCUUGGUCUGGGUUCUCUUGUCCGACCUCGGUGUAAAAGCUAGUCAUCUAUCCGACCCGUCUUGAAACACGGACCAAGGAGUUUAGCGUAUGCGCGAGUCAAUGAGUGGAAAACUCAAAGGCGUAAUGAAAGUAAAGGUCUCGUCAGAGACUGAUAUGCGAUAUUGUACACCUUGGUGUGCAUUAGCAGCAUAGCCCCAUCCUGAUCGCUUGCGAUGGGGUGGAGGCAGAGCGUAUUCGCUGAGACCCGAAAGAUGGUGAACUAUUCCUGAGCAGGAUGAAGCCAGUGGAAACACUGGUGGAAGUCCGAAGCGGUUCUGACGUGCAAAUCGAUCGUCUGAC